UUAAAGGGUGCGUAGGCGGCUSAUUAAGUCAGUUCUGAAAGCCCCCGGCUUAACCKGGGAGGUGGCWUUGAUACUGGYCGGCUUGAGUGCUGUCGAGGCARGCGGAAUUGACGUGUAGCGGUGAAAUGCUUAGAUAUCUUCAGGAACACCGAUGGUGAAGACAGCUUGCYGGACWRCAACUGACGCUGAGGCACGAAAGYGUGGGGAGCAAACAGGAUUAGAUACCCUGGUAGUCCACACUGUAAACGAUGAUGACUNGCUGUUGGCGAUAUAC
RNAcentral lists this ribosomal RNA (274 nucleotides) under uncultured bacterium. Its description in RNAcentral is "partial 16S ribosomal RNA". It matches the Rfam family "Bacterial small subunit ribosomal RNA", at positions 561 to 834 of the family's 1533-position model. The record is from RNAcentral.